This 302-nucleotide ribosomal RNA is filed under the name uncultured bacterium. RNAcentral describes it as "bacterial SSU rRNA". It matches the Rfam family "Bacterial small subunit ribosomal RNA", at positions 29 to 313 of the family's 1533-position model. The record is from RNAcentral.
AGCGAACGUGAGCGGCAGGCCUAACACAUGCAAGUCGCGCGAGAAUGGGGCUUCGGCUCCUAGUAAAGCGGCGGACGGGUGAGUAACACGUGGAUAAUCUGCCCUUCGGCGGGGGACAACAGUCCGAAAGGAUUGCUAAUACCGCGUAAGUCGGCGAGGUCGUUCGGAUCUUGUCGGGAAAGAUGGCCUCUUCAUGAAAGCUAUCACCGAAGGAUGAGUCCGCGUCCCAUCAGCUAGUUGGCGGUGUAAGAGACCACCAAGGCUAAGACGGGUAGCUGGUCUGAGAGGAUGAUCAGCCACAC